Lytechinus pictus (painted urchin) is the source of this 2314-nucleotide long non-coding RNA. RefSeq lists it as uncharacterized. The record is from RefSeq and is a predicted model, not a curated record. Lineage: Eukaryota; Metazoa; Echinodermata; Echinoidea; Temnopleuroida; Toxopneustidae. The transcript has 3 exons.
AGGGCGUUUGGAUCUGAACAUCUUGGUGUCAACUAUGGGAUUUUAUUUACGCUCGGGAACUCCGUACCGUCUGUUGUCGCUGCCUUCAUCCAACAGCCUAUUCUUCAUUUCAUGUCUUGGAAUGUGAUCUUCAUCUUGACCGGAGGAUUUUCGACAUUAGGUAUGGUCCUCGCCAUGUUCUUCAACGUCAAAACACCAGAUGGUGUCGACAUAUAGUAAGAGGAUUUGUUUUUGCUUCUACGAUGUCUUUUAACAACAACAAUUAAAAAUGAUAUGAAGACGAAGGGGCAGAAAUAGAGAAUGGCCUUUGAGUAUCUCGGCAUAUUUUGCACGCAAAACCACCACCCUCUUCCAAACUUCAAGGCACCCAUUUUCUCCCCCCCCCGCCCGCAUUACAAUUGGUUGGAGAGAUUGUACCCUGAAUGAAAUCGUUUAUAACCAGUGAUAAAGGUGUGCCGAAUUGGAUGUGGGAAGAUGAUUUCGUUUCAUUUCCAUUUACUUUCAAAUGUAUCAUGUUACAUAGACAAAGCUAAACAAUUUGCAACUCCGAGUGUGACAUUGGACAGUACUUUUUACCUGUUAAGGUGCUCAGUUAAUUAUUUUUUCAAAGAAUUAUUCUUGCAGUGCUAUUCGCCUGUCUGGAUUCUUUAUGAGUGUUAAAUAUAGUGCUUGCUAAUUGGUUCCUUUACAAUGGUAUGCAAAUUAUGGCUUUGACGUUGUCUCUGCCCCAACCAAGUAUGCACAGUUUUCAAGCUGCUUUACGUAAAUGCUGGGAACGAGCCAUUAAAAUAUGACUACAAAAGCCCCGUUCCUGGAAAUCUUAAGGAGGAAAAAUCUAGAAUUGAUUACAGAGGCAGGCGUUCAAAUUCUUCCCUAUGAUUACCCUUGGUGAAUUCAAAACCAAACAUUGUUGGUUUUGAAUAAAUUAAUUUAUUUAAUCAUUCAGUUGUGUGACGAGUGGACGAGUUGGCAAUAACAAAAACGCCCUAAAGCGGACAUAAUAUGUGAAAAUAUGUUACUAUCAAAGGGCGUCUACAGGCAAAGGCACUAGAUAUAUCUUAUAUGUAACAUAUCGUGAGCAAAGGUGAUUGUUUAUAAUACCAGUAGACAUGAUAGACGGAUGCCAAUUAUAUGAGAAGCAGAAUAAUAUGAAUAAUGAUAUUAGAGUUUUUUUUUCAAUAUUCAUAAUGCAUGUAACAAUGGGUCUGAUGUGAUGUUUGCUCAUACUGUCAAUAGACAUGAGAGACGGAUAGAUGUCAAGCCAAUAUGAGAAGCAAAAUGAUAUGAAUAAUGAUACUAGUACUAGUAUUUGUUUUCAAUUUUCAUAAUGCAUGCAACGAUGGGCCUAAUAUCUAAUUUUUGAAUCACUUUCGCUUUUCUUGCUUGUUAAAAUCAAAUAUAUUUUAUACAAAAGAUUUUAAAACUUUUAUUGAAACUAUUGUUCACUAAUAUUGAGAGAAGAAAUUUAUAUUUUUAAUCGUAUUAUUAUAAUAAUUGGUGAGACGAAAGUUGUAUUUUUUUCGUAAUAUUAUACCGAUUAUCUCACCUAAAAUGUGUGUAGCAUUGUAAGUGGAAAAUUGCAUUUGGUAUUUUAUGUCUUGCUUCUCGGUAGAUUUUUCAUCCCUUGUUCUAAAUAUUGUAAAUGAAUUUUUAACAAUUCUAAUUAUUAUUAAAAAAUAAUUCGAUGGUCAAUUAUCAAAAAACCUAUAUUAACAGUAAUGAAUGCAUGUAAAUUUUAAGAAAUAGUUGCAUAAAUUUGUCUUUAUGCUUGUGUGCUUUUAAAUAUUAGGGGGCUUACUGUUUUCAUGACUGCCUUGUUUCGCGAUCUUUUAAAAAUAUAUGACGUUCAUAUUUUCUGGGCUGCAGGAAUUUUAAUUUUGAUAUUAUAAUACUUAUUUUACCUUGCGUCAUUUAGAGAAAUUUAAGCGUAUAGAUAAUCAUGGUGCUAUUUUGGUCUCCGAGAGGCACGAAUAAUGAAUGGUUAUCUGGAGUAUGUCAACUUACAUUUUGUUCCCAACAUGGUUAUGUCAAAGACCAUGGGCCUGUUGCAGAAAGAGUUGCGUUUAAACGCAAGUCCCGAAUGCGGGUGCUUCAUUGGCUGAAAAUCAAGUAGCGCAAGAUUGUUUAGUUGCGUUUGAUUGCAACUUUUUCUGCAACGGGCCCCCAGCGCUUAAAAAGCUAAUACAGUGGUAUUAUGGGAAUAAAAACUGCGCCUGCUGAAAGGGCUCUUGAUCUAUGAUUAUAAUAAUAAUUAUUUGGGUUUAUAUUGAAUAUUGUGAAAAUAUUAAAUGAAAAAAUAGAACCAAUUGAAGAA